Molecule: ribosomal RNA, 475 nt
Filed under: uncultured fungus
Lineage: Eukaryota; Fungi
Description: eukaryotic LSU rRNA
Rfam family: 5.8S ribosomal RNA (bases 137-290)
Source: RNAcentral
CGUCAUAUCCCUUUGUAAACUCUACCUUUGUUGCUUUGGCAGGACGCUCUCUGAGCUCGCGGCUUCGGCUGCGACGUGCCUGCCAGAGGACCCAACUCUUGAUUUUAGUGAUGUCUGAGUACUAUAUAAUAGUUAAAACUUUCAACAACGGAUCUCUUGGUUCUGGCAUCGAUGAAGAACGCAGCGAAAUGCGAUAAGUAAUGUGAAUUGCAGAAUUCAGUGAAUCAUCGAAUCUUUGAACGCACAUUGCGCCCGGUGGUAUUCCGCCGGGCAUGCCUGUUCGAGCGUCAUAAGUCCAAAUCACGCCUGGCGUGGUCUUGGGGCAUGCCUCUGGGCAGUCCUUAAACGUAGUGGCAGCGCCGUCUGGCUCUAAGCGUAGUAAUUUCUCUCGCUAUAGGGUCCUGCGGAUGCUUGCCAGCAACCCCCAAUACAAUCGGUUGACCUCGGAUCAGGUAGGGAUACCCGCUGAACUUAA